UACAGAGGGUGCGAGCGUUGUCCGGAAUCACUGGGCGUAAAGGGCGCGUAGGCGGCCCGAUAAGUAGGGGGUGAAAUCUUGCGGCUCAACCGCAAGGCUGCCUUCUAGACUGUCGGGCUUGAGCACAGUAGAGGCAGGUGGAAUUCCCGGUGUAGCGGUGGAAUGCGUAGAGAUCGGGAAGAACAUCGGUGGCGAAGGCUGCCUGCUGGGCUGUUGCUGACGCUGAGGCGCGACAGCGUGGGGAGCAAACAGG
RNAcentral lists this ribosomal RNA (253 nucleotides) under uncultured bacterium. RNAcentral's name for it is "partial 16S ribosomal RNA". It matches the Rfam family "Bacterial small subunit ribosomal RNA", at positions 524 to 776 of the family's 1533-position model. The record is from RNAcentral.